Molecule: transfer RNA, 87 nt
Filed under: Candidatus Parcubacteria bacterium
Lineage: Bacteria; Candidatus Parcubacteria
Description: tRNA-Ser
Rfam family: tRNA
About the family: Transfer RNA (tRNA) molecules are approximately 80 nucleotides in length.
Source: RNAcentral
GGAGAGAUGGCUGAGCGGUUUAAGGCGGCGGUCUUGAAAACCGUUGUGGAUGAAAGUCCACCCAGGGUUCGAAUCCCUGUCUCUCCG